UACGUAGGUGGCAAGCGUUAUCCGGAAUUACUGGGCGUAAAGCGCACGCAGGCGGUCUCUUAAGUUUGACGUGAAAGCUCCCGGCUUAACUGGGAGAGGUCGUUGAAUACUGGGAGACUUGAGGCAAUGAGAGGGGUGUAGAAUUCCCGGUGUAGUGGUGGAAUGCGUAGAUAUCGGGGGGAAUACCAGUGGCGAAAGCGGCUCCCUAGCGUUGUUCUGACGCUCAUGUGCGAAAGCGUGGGGAGCGAACGGG
Molecule: ribosomal RNA, 253 nt
Filed under: uncultured bacterium
Lineage: Bacteria
Description: partial 16S ribosomal RNA
Rfam family: Bacterial small subunit ribosomal RNA
Source: RNAcentral